RNAcentral lists this transfer RNA (85 nucleotides) under Hydrotalea sp. AMD. Its description in RNAcentral is "tRNA-Leu". It matches the Rfam family "tRNA". From Rfam's summary of the family: Transfer RNA (tRNA) molecules are approximately 80 nucleotides in length. Their secondary structure includes four short double-helical elements and three loops (D, anti-codon, and T loops). The record is from RNAcentral. Lineage: Bacteria; Pseudomonadati; Bacteroidota; Chitinophagia; Chitinophagales; Chitinophagaceae.
GCGGAUGUGGCGAAAUUGGCAGACGCACUAGACUUAGGAUCUAGCGCCGCAAGGCAUGUGGGUUCGACCCCCUCCAUCCGCACUA